GGCGGCGUGCCUAACACAUGCAAGUCGCACGAGAAAGGGGAGCAAUACCUGAGUACAAUGGCGCACGGGUGAGUAACACGUGAAUCAUCUACCUUUGAGUGGGGAAUAACUGGGAGAAAUCUCAGCUAAUACCGCAUAAUACCUACGGGUCAAAGCAGCAAUGCGCUUGAAGAGGAGUUCGCGGCAGAUUAGUUAGUUGGCGGGGUAAUGGCCCACCAAGACGAUGAUCUGUAUCCGGCCUGAGAGGGCGCACGGACACACUGGAACUGAAACACGGUCCAGACUCCUACGGGAGGCAGCAGUGGGGAAUUUUGCGCAAUGGGGGAAACCCUGACGCAGCAACGCCGCGUGGAGGAUGAAAUCCCUUGGGAUGUAAACUCCUUUCGAUAGGGAAGAUUAUGACGGUACCAAUAGAAGAAGGCCGG
RNAcentral lists this ribosomal RNA (425 nucleotides) under Acidobacteria bacterium UCL-067. RNAcentral's name for it is "bacterial SSU rRNA". It matches the Rfam family "Bacterial small subunit ribosomal RNA", at positions 38 to 495 of the family's 1533-position model. Lineage: Bacteria; Pseudomonadati; Acidobacteriota. The record is from RNAcentral.